AGUUUAAGAUCAUAUACUGUCAGUGUUACUGUUCAAGGUACAGUCGGUCAACUAUUCAAUUUGCACGAACAAAACAAAACAUUCUUUUUUUUUUGGCAUAUGAAGAAUAUACUAUAUAAAAAGAAGACAAUUAUGAAUUAUAUCUACCUAGUUCAAAGAGUAUUUAUUCUCUUCGGAUCCAUGCUUUGUCAGAUUGGGAAGAUGUUGGGAUUUGAUAAUGUUUCGUAUGAAAAGUACCUAAAUACAUUAAGGAGUCGCGAGGAAAAGAUCGUUUUGUUAGAGAGUCGUGUUAGUGAGUUAACGUUAGUGAUGGCUGCCGAAAAAAGUGAACAGUAUGUUGCAAAUCAACAAAAGAAUGAGGAAAUUGACGAACUACGAAAGAAUUUACAAAAUCUAAUGGACACUGUCGAUUUUUUCAAAUCAUCCGAAAAUCAGUCUUGUAUGGUACAAACAACAAAUAAGAGAGUUGUAAAAAUCAUUCAGAAUCGUAUUAGAGAGAUACGAGAUUUGUUGGUUCGGGACAUAAGUUUAUUGGAAGAUAAUACUUGGUAUGAGGUAAGGGAUAGAGGAGAAAAUAUAGAAGGUCGCCUAAGGGAUUUUAGACAUUCGUUGGAGGAGAAUAAUUUAAAUCCUCAGUUAGUUCAAACUCUAAAAGAUAUGGAGUUGUUAACAAAUAUACGAAAUAAUCGCUAUGAUCUUGUUAAUAAUCUUAUUGGAAAUACAGUUAUUCAUUUGCAAGAAAUUCUGGUAUUAUCUCAAACAACUGAUAAUUGGUCCCAAUGUCGCCUUAAUCCAAUUUCUUGUUAUUAAUUAUUUAACUGUUUAAAACAAAAAAAAAGACUUGACAUUUUUGUUGCAAUAAGUAUAAUUAAGCUCCUUAAGGCGAUGGUAAAUAAUAUUCCUUAAAAAAAAAAUGGCGGAGUUCUUUUUUGAGAAUGUUCUCUUCUUCUUCGUCUAACCCCAGAUACUUUGGAUCAUGUUCAAAAUAGACAAAAAUGCUAAACAGUAAAUUGUAAUUUUGUUUAUUUUUUUUUUGAAAUUAAAAGAAAAAAAUACUUAAUAACAAGGUAAAUAGAAAAUAAAGAAAGAGAACCUUUGGGAAUCUUUUUUAUGUCUUUUUGUCUUUAGGUAUUUUUUUUGGUUUUUAUUUUUACUUUUUUAUUACUUUAUUUUUGGUUUCAUGGAGAAAAAAAAGAAAAAAAAAAGAGAGAGAUGAUAACUUAACAAUUGAAUUGGAGUUUAUUUUAAAUAGUACAAAAUAAAGAAUCCUGUCCUUGUUGGCUUUUUUUUCUGAUUUGUAUCUCUUCCUUUCUUCACAAUUAGCCUAUUUAGCUGAUUCGAAGGAUAACUAACUGAUUUACAUAGUUUAUAUCUAACCAAUAUUUCGAUUAAUAAAUUUAUUCAAAAACUAUGCUUUUUAUAAUUAUUUCUACGUGUUAUACUAUCAGUUAAGUGAUACAUUGGAAAUUUAUAGUUUAUUUUCUACUUCG
RNAcentral lists this unclassified non-coding RNA (1490 nucleotides) under Dimorphilus gyrociliatus. RNAcentral describes it as "dgyrCDS13562". Lineage: Eukaryota; Metazoa; Annelida; Polychaeta; Dinophilidae. The record is from RNAcentral.